GUGCGCCUACGGGGGGCAGCAGUGGGGAAUAUUGCACAAUGGGGGAAACCCUGAUGCAGCGACGCCGCGUGAGUGAAGAAGUAUUUCGGUACGUAAAGCUCUAUCAGCAGGGAAGAAAACAGACGGUACCUGACUAAGAAGCCCCGGCUAACUACGUGCCAGCAGCCGCGGUAAUACGUAGGGGGCAAGCGUUAUCCGGAUUUACUGGGUGUAAAGGGGGCGCAGACGGCCAUGGCAAGCCCGGUGUGAAAGGCAGGGGCAUAACCCCUGGACUGCACUGGGAACUGUCAGGCUGGAGUGCCGGG
This 305-nucleotide ribosomal RNA is filed under the name uncultured bacterium. RNAcentral describes it as "bacterial SSU rRNA". It matches the Rfam family "Bacterial small subunit ribosomal RNA", at positions 333 to 653 of the family's 1533-position model. The record is from RNAcentral.